GACGAACGCUGGCGGCGUGCCUAACACAUGCAAGUCGAGCGAGUUGAUUCUCUUCGGAGAUGAGGCUAGCGGCGGACGGGUGAGUAACACGUGGGCAACCUGCCUCAUAGAGGGGAAUAGCCUCCCGAAAGGGAGAUUAAUACCGCAUAAGAUUGUAGCUUCGCAUGAAGUAGCAAUUAAAGGAGCAAUCCGCUAUGAGAUGGGCCCGCGGCGCAUUAGCUAGUUGGUGAGGUAACGGCUCACCAAGGCGACGAUGCGUAGCCGACCUGAGAGGGGGAUCGGCCACACUGGGACUGAGACACGGCCCAGACUCCUACGGGAGGCAGCAGUGGGGAAUAUUGCACAAUGGGGGAAACCCUGAUGCAGCAACGCCGCGUGAGUGAUGACGGCCUUCGGGUUGUAAAGCUCUGUCUUCAGGGACGAUAAUGACGGUACCUGAGGAGGAAGCCACGGCUAACUACGUGCCAGCAGCCGCAGUAA
This 480-nucleotide ribosomal RNA is filed under the name uncultured bacterium. RNAcentral describes it as "partial 16S ribosomal RNA". It matches the Rfam family "Bacterial small subunit ribosomal RNA", at positions 28 to 523 of the family's 1533-position model. The record is from RNAcentral.